GCCUAGAUCAUACAGAAUACAGACAGCACCGUGGGCUACAUUGACGGAAAGAGAUACAUUAACGACACACCAUUCGAUUAAAAGAAAACAAAUCAAGACAAAGCUGAACAGUGAGCCAAUAUCAAGAGACAAGAGGAACAACAACAUUGUAUUUUUUGCAUGCAAAGAUCAAGACCACCUGAAUAUGUAGGCCAAAGAUUGGAAAUAAUAUUACUAUGAUAUUAUUAUCAUAUCUUUAUCACUUUAUCAAUUCUUCCUUUAUUUUAUUUCAUUAUGGUGCACCCAAUUGCUAUUUGUUGUAUAAAUGCUAUAUUCAAUUACAUUUUAUUUAUAUAGCACCUCAAAAAUGUAAUAGUUUCAAGGCGCUUUACAGAGCCCAAUGCCUGAAAGCCCCUUAGGGCAAGCUCAAUGACGACAGGGGCCCGAAAAAAAACUCCCUGUUAAUCAGGAAGAAUCCUUAAGCAGAACCGCAGCACAUAAGGGUUGUGUGUGUUGCCCAUUGAUCCACAUAAUCUUACAUUCAAUGACAACAACAUUACUAUUAGAGUAGUCAAGUCGGAUUGACAGACCUUCAUGUCUUGGUGUCUCUUCAUGUCUAAUGAUGGACUCUCGUUUCUCUUUACUUAGUUGAGUGGUUCUUGCCAUAAUAUGGAUUAGUACAGUAGUGGUAGUAGUAGUUAUAGGGCUAUUCACUGUAUACCAAUCCUACCUAUGCACAACACGACUGAUGGUCCCAAUCACAUUAAGAAGGCAAGGAAUUCCACAAAUUAACUCUUGACAAGGCACACAUGUUAAUUGAAAACCAUUCUAGGUGACUAGCUCAUGAAGCUGAUUGAGAGAAUGCCAAAGCGGUCAUAGAAUCUAAAGUAUAAAACAUAUUCUGGGUUGUUUAACCCCUUUUUUUUUUUUACCACAUAAUAAAUA
This is a long non-coding RNA of Clupea harengus (Atlantic herring), 924 nucleotides long. RefSeq lists it as uncharacterized. Lineage: Eukaryota; Metazoa; Chordata; Actinopteri; Clupeiformes; Clupeidae. The transcript has 2 exons. The record is from RefSeq and is a predicted model, not a curated record.